CCACGGUGGCUGCAGUGGGGAAUAUUGGACAAUGGGCGAAAGCCUGAUCCAGCCAUGCCGCGUGUGUGAAGAAGGCCUUCGGGUUGUAAAGCACUUUCAGUGGGGAAGAAAGCCUUGGGGCUAAUACCCUCGAGGAAGGACAUCACCCACAGAAGAAGCACCGGCUAACUCCGUGCCAGCAGCCGCGGUAAUACGGAGGGUGCGAGCGUUAAUCGGAAUUACUGGGCGUAAAGCGCGCGUAGGCGGUCUGAUAAGCCGGUUGUGAAAGCCCCGGACUCAACCUGGGAACGGCAUCCGGAACUGUCAGGCUAGAGUGCAGGAGAGGAAGGUAGAAUUCCCGGUGUAGCGGUGAAAUGCGUAGAGACUCGGGUGGAAUACCAGUGGCGAAGGCGGCCUUCUGGACUGACACUGACGCUGAGGUGCGAAAGCGUGGGUAGCAAACAGGAUUAGAUACCCGAGUAGUC
RNAcentral lists this ribosomal RNA (464 nucleotides) under Vreelandella stevensii. Its description in RNAcentral is "partial 16S ribosomal RNA". It matches the Rfam family "Bacterial small subunit ribosomal RNA", at positions 339 to 795 of the family's 1533-position model. Lineage: Bacteria; Pseudomonadati; Pseudomonadota; Gammaproteobacteria; Oceanospirillales; Halomonadaceae. The record is from RNAcentral.